CUGUAGAAUCGCAGAAUGACCGCAGUUGGAAAAGACCUUCCAGAUCAUCGAAUCCGACCAUCUUUCCGUGCUAGCAGGUGGUCUGGAGAAGCGGAGGGUGAAGUUGAGAGCAGGAAAGUGUGUGAAGAGAGCUACGCCCUGUGCUUUCUUCAUCCACCUCGUUGUGCAUCAUGACACUCCCUAGCUCUGGAGGAAGAUGUUGAUUUAGGACUGCUGCCCUCAUUUCCUGUUGUAUCCUCCCUGAAACCUGCUCAUCCCAUGAGCAUCUCUUAUUCCAGUUUCCAAAGCCACACCUGCCUUUUAUUUGUUUGUUGUAAUCUCCUUUGAAGGAGAUUAUGUUUAUGUUAUGAACUUGCCUUUUCCCUUUUGUACCCUUGCAACACUACCUGAAAUUUGAAAACAGCCCAUCACUUUUCUGUUGCAGUCACAGAUUAGAGUAGGCUAUCUUGAUAUAAAUGCAAUAUUGAUGUAAACAUUUAGAAACAACUUGAGCCAAGAUCAGUAGGAUUAAAUCCUACUCUGCCAGUGAAAACCGGGAUGUGUAAUGUUCGUAGAAGUACAAUGGCAUCCAGAACCUUCCUUGGAGGGCCAGACACAUUAAACAGUGUGAAAAUCA
Molecule: long non-coding RNA, 616 nt
Organism: Meleagris gallopavo (turkey)
Lineage: Eukaryota; Metazoa; Chordata; Aves; Galliformes; Phasianidae
Source: RefSeq, a predicted model, not a curated record